This is a long non-coding RNA of Nomascus leucogenys (northern white-cheeked gibbon), 967 nucleotides long. RefSeq lists it as uncharacterized. The transcript is spliced from 4 exons. The record is from RefSeq and is a predicted model, not a curated record. NCBI's taxonomy places the organism in Eukaryota, Metazoa, Chordata, Mammalia, Primates, Hylobatidae.
GACUUCCGCUUCACUUCGCUAUCUGCCCUAGAAAGGGAACUCAGAGGGGACUCACUGGCGAAAGGAGCUCCAGAUGGCGGGGAGCCAACCUGGGGCGAUCCCCAGCGCCCACUUUCACCGUCUGGACCCCAGCAAACCGCCCUGUGGCCCUUGGUCCCGUCUUCAGCAGCUCCUUCUGGGGUCCCACACCUUCGGAGCCCGGCCCUGCCCCUGAGUCUCUGGAGAGAGCGAGUCAGCGGCUCGCCACCGCGGGGCUCCCGUUUGCCUAGCACGCCAGUUUCUGUCCAGUUUCACCCCAAAUCCCCACCUCGCCCCACCCCCGAACCUCACGGCCACCCUGAGGAGGCUUGACUUGUGACAUCCGCCCCUCUUCACGGCUGAGGAACUUUGGCUCCGAGCGAGGAAGCGACCGGCCCACGGCCACACGCCCGGAGUGGGUAAAUAUCUACUCAUGGGAUUGCUGGGCUGUAUGGGUGCAGCAUCUUCUACUAUGUGCAUCUACAUUGGAUGGCAGUGGAGCAACACAGAUUGUUUUCUGACAAAAAUCAGCCAAGUACUAGGAGAGGCAGGACUUUAGAAGUGGAGGAGAUGGAGAAGGAAGAUUAGGUUACUACGAAGUGUGCAAAAAGGUCCUGUGGAUUUAGAUAACACCACACACAAACGCUGUUGUUGGAAAGUAGCUGCCCAGAUAAGGACUGUAUUUCCUCUAGCAUUGAGAUGGGACCAAAUGACUGCUGGCCAAUAGAACUGAGUGGAAGGAUUGACUCCAGUUCCAGGUUAGGCCUCCAGCUGCUCUGGGCAUGUCGAUGGAACAGAACCACCACCUCUACCCCAUUGCCACCAAUUCAACUUUACAUGAAUUAUAAGCAAGAAAUAAACUUGGACUGUGUUAAGCCAUUGAGUUUCUAGGGUUUAACUGUUUUUAUAGUUAAGAAUGACUUUAACUAAUAUAGUCAAUGACAUCUAA